This 781-nucleotide ribosomal RNA is filed under the name Marinilactibacillus sp. CR-14. RNAcentral's name for it is "bacterial SSU rRNA". It matches the Rfam family "Bacterial small subunit ribosomal RNA", at positions 56 to 818 of the family's 1533-position model. The record is from RNAcentral. Lineage: Bacteria; Bacillati; Bacillota; Bacilli; Lactobacillales; Carnobacteriaceae.
UGCAAGUCGAACGAUGAAAUCCUCUGCUUGCAGAGGAUGGAUUAGUGGCGAACGGGUGAGUAACACGUGGGUAACCUGCCCAUAAGAGGGGGAUAACAUUCGGAAACGGAUGCUAAUACCGCAUAGGUCUUUGAGACGCCUGUCUCUUAGAUGAAAGGUGGCUUCGGCUGCCGCUUAUGGAUGGACCCGCGGCGUAUUAGCUAGUUGGUGAGGUAAUGGCUCACCAAGGCUGUGAUACGUAGCCGACCUGAGAGGGUGAUCGGCCACACUGGGACUGAGACACGGCCCAGACUCCUACGGGAGGCAGCAGUAGGGAAUCUUCCACAAUGGGUGAAAACCUGAUGGAGCAAUACCGCGUGAGUGAAGAAGGUCUUCGGAUCGUAAAGCUCUGUUGUUAGAGAAGAACAAGUCGGGUAGUAACUGCCCCGACCUUGACGGUAUCUAACCAGAAAGUCACGGCUAACUACGUGCCAGCAGCCGCGGUAAUACGUAGGUGACAAGCGUUGUCCGGAUUUAUUGGGCGUAAAGCGAGCGCAGGCGGUCUUUUAAGUCUGAUGUGAAAGCCCACGGCUCAACCGUGGAGGGUCAUUGGAAACUGGAAGACUUGAAUGCAGAAGAGGAAAGUGGAAUUCCAUGUGUAGCGGUGAAAUGCGUAGAUAUAUGGAGGAACACCAGUGGCGAAGGCGACUUUCUGGUCUGUAAUUGACGCUGAGGCUCGAAAGCGUGGGGAGCGAACAGGAUUAGAUACCCUGGUAGUCCACGCCGUAAACGAUGAGUGCUA